CAGCCGCCGCGGUAACCCCAGCGCCACAAGUGGGAACCACGCUUAUUGGGUCUAAAGCAUCCGUAGCCGGUUCUGCAAAUGCCCUGUGAAAUCGUUGCGCUUAACGUAACGGCGUGCAGGGUAGACUACAGAACUAGGGACCAGAGGAAGUAGACGGUAUUCCUGAGGGAGCGGUAAAAUGUGAUAAUCUCAGGAGGACCACCGAUGGCGAAGGCAGUCUUCUAAUAUGGAUCUGACGGUGAGGGAUGAAAGCUAGGGGAGCGAUCCGGAUUAGAUACCCGAGUAGUCCUAGCCGUAAACGCUGCGUGCCAGAUGUUGCACAAUCCUCGCGAUUGUGCAGUGUCGUAACGAAGGUGUUAAGCACGCCACCUGGGAAGUACGGUCGCAAGGCUGAAACUUAAAGGAAUUGGCGGGGGAGCACC
Molecule: ribosomal RNA, 422 nt
Filed under: uncultured archaeon
Lineage: Archaea
Description: bacterial SSU rRNA
Rfam family: Archaeal small subunit ribosomal RNA
Source: RNAcentral